GUACCCUCAAGCUUUGCUUGGUGUUGGGCGUCUUAUUGUCUCUCCGUCUCGGGGAGACUCGCCUCAAAACAAUUGGCAGCCGGCCUACUGGUUUCGGAGCGCAGCACAAAUUUGCGCUUGCAAUCAGCCAAGGGCGGCAUCCAUCAAGCCUUUUUUCAUCCACA
This 164-nucleotide unclassified non-coding RNA is filed under the name Exserohilum turcicum. Its description in RNAcentral is "partial internal transcribed spacer 2". Lineage: Eukaryota; Fungi; Ascomycota; Dothideomycetes; Pleosporales; Pleosporaceae. The record is from RNAcentral.